This 78-nucleotide non-coding RNA is filed under the name Neobacillus jeddahensis. Its description in RNAcentral is "Cyclic di-GMP-I riboswitch". It matches the Rfam family "c-di-GMP-I riboswitch aptamer". From Rfam's summary of the family: GEMM was predicted in a large-scale screen for bacterial structured RNA regulatory elements. Genes associated with GEMM are involved in a diverse array of functions, including chemotaxis regulation, signal transduction, secretion and chitin. The record is from RNAcentral. Lineage: Bacteria; Bacillati; Bacillota; Bacilli; Caryophanales; Bacillaceae.
AAACGGCAAAACCAUUGAAAAAUGGUGACGCAAAACUAAAGGGGCUAAGGUGUAACAACGAUGCUAGCCAGUUACCGA